CCCGGGCCUUGUACACACCGCCCGUCACACCACGGGAGUCGGCCAUGCCCGAAGUCGUUACCCUAACCAUUUCGGAGGGGGAUGCCUAAGGCAGGGCUGGUGACUGGGGUGAAGUCGUAACAAGGUAGCCGUACUGGAAGGUGCGGCUGGAUCACCUCCUUU
This 162-nucleotide ribosomal RNA is filed under the name Cyanophora paradoxa. RNAcentral's name for it is "partial 16S ribosomal RNA". It matches the Rfam family "Bacterial small subunit ribosomal RNA", at positions 1373 to 1533 of the family's 1533-position model. Lineage: Eukaryota; Glaucocystophyceae; Cyanophorales; Cyanophoraceae. The record is from RNAcentral.